Molecule: ribosomal RNA, 274 nt
Filed under: uncultured bacterium
Lineage: Bacteria
Description: partial 16S ribosomal RNA
Rfam family: Bacterial small subunit ribosomal RNA
Source: RNAcentral
AUACGGAGGGUGCAAGCGUUGUCCGGAUUUAUUGGGUUUAAAGGGUGUGUAGGCGGUGUAUUAAGUCAGUGGUGAAAGCCUGCGGCUCAACCGUAGAACUGCCAUUGAUACUGACACACUUGAGUAUGGACGAGGUAGGCGGAAUUUAUGGUGUAGCGGUGAAAUGCAUAGACACCAUAAAGAACACCGAUAGCGAAGGCAGCUUACUAGGCCAUAACUGACGCUGAGGCACGAAAGCGUGGGGAGCGAACAGGAUUAGAAACCCCAGUAGUCC